Molecule: ribosomal RNA, 447 nt
Filed under: uncultured bacterium
Lineage: Bacteria
Description: partial 16S ribosomal RNA
Rfam family: Bacterial small subunit ribosomal RNA
Source: RNAcentral
AACGAACGCUGGCGGCAGGCUUAACACAUGCAAGUCGAGCGCCCCGCAAGGGGAGCGGCAGACGGGUGAGUAACACGUGGGAAUCUACCCAUCCCUACGGAACAACUCCGGGAAACUAGAGCUAAUACCGUAUACGCCCUUUGGGGGAAAGAUUUAUCGGGGAUGGAUGAGCCCGCGUUGGAUUAGCUAGUUGGUGGGGUAAAGGCCUACCAAGGCGACGAUCCAUAGCUGGUCUGAGAGGAUGAUCAGCCACAUUGGGACUGAGACACGGCCCAAACUCCUACGGGAGGCAGCAGUGGGGAAUAUUGGACAAUGGGCGCAAGCCUGAUCCAGCCAUGCCGCGUGAAUGAUGAAGGCCUUAGGGUUGUAAAGUUCUUUCACCGAUGAAGAUAAUGACGGUAGUCGGAGAAGAAGCCCCGGCUAACUUCGUGCCAGCAGCAGCCGCAG